UCCAGUUUCUCGAGCCUUUCCCCAAGAUGUCAAGCCCAGGUAAGGUUCUUCGCGUUGCGUCGAAUUAAACCACAUGCUCCACCGCUUGUGCGGGCCCCCGUCAAUUCCUUUGAGUUUUAGCCUUGCGGCCGUACUCCCCAGGCGGGGUGCUUAAUGCGUUAGCUACGGCACGGAAGGAGUCGACACCUCCCACACCUAGCACCCAUCGUUUACGGCGUGGACUAC
This 225-nucleotide unclassified non-coding RNA is filed under the name uncultured Thermoleophilia bacterium. RNAcentral's name for it is "contains 16S-23S intergenic spacer region". The record is from RNAcentral. Lineage: Bacteria; Bacillati; Actinomycetota; Thermoleophilia.